GACGAACGCUGGCGGCGCGCCUAACACAUGCAAGUCGAACGAGGUCUUUUAGAAGCUUGCUUCUGGCUGACCUAGUGGCGGACGGGUGAGUAACACGUGAGCAACCUGCCCUACAGAGGGGGAUAACGUCUGGAAACGGACGCUAAUACCGCAUAACGUAUCGGAGUGGCAUCGCUCUGGUACCAAAGGAGAAAUCCGCUGUGGGAUGGGCUCGCGGCCGCUUAGAUAGUUGGUGAGGUAACGGCUCACCAAGUCGACGAUCGGUAGCCGGACUGGGAGGUUGAUCGGCCACAUUGGGACUGAGACACGGCCCGGACUCCUACGGGAGGCAGCAGUAGGGAAUUUUCGGCAAUGGGGGGAACCCUGACCGAGCAACGCCGCGUGAAGGAAGAAGGUUUUCGGAUUGUAAACUUCUGUUAUAAAGGGAGAACGGUACAUGGGGGGAAUGCCAUGUAAGUGACGGUACUUUAUGAGAAAGCCACGGCUAACUACGUGCCAGCCGCCGCCGUAAGAC
Molecule: ribosomal RNA, 514 nt
Filed under: uncultured bacterium
Lineage: Bacteria
Description: bacterial SSU rRNA
Rfam family: Bacterial small subunit ribosomal RNA
Source: RNAcentral